UGGGGGAAACCCUGAUGCAGCGACGCCGCGUGAGCGAUGAAGCCCUUCGGGGUGUAAAGCUCUUUCGGCAGGGAAGAUUAUGACGGUACCUGCAGAAGCAGCUGCGGCUAACUACGUGCCAGCAGCCGCGGUAAUACGUAGGCAGCAAGCGUUGUUCGGAGUUACUGGGCGUAAAGGGUGCGUAGGCUGUUCCGUAAGUAUGGUGUGAAAUCUCCCGGCUUAACUGGGAGGGUGCGCUAUAAACUGCGGGACUAGAGUGUGGGAGAGGAAAGUGGAAUUCCUGGUGUAGCGGUGAAAUGCGUAGAUAUCAGGAGGAACACCGGUGGUGUAAACGGCUUUCUGGACCAUAACUGACGCUGAGGCACGAAAGCGUGGGUAGCAAACAGGAUUAGAUACCCUGGUAGUCCACGCCCUAAACGAUGCAUAUUUGGUGUGGGUCAUUCAGUUGAUCCGUGCCGGAGCUAACGCGUUAAAUAUGCCGCCUGGGGAGUAC
This 493-nucleotide ribosomal RNA is filed under the name uncultured bacterium. RNAcentral's name for it is "bacterial SSU rRNA". It matches the Rfam family "Bacterial small subunit ribosomal RNA", at positions 372 to 883 of the family's 1533-position model. The record is from RNAcentral.